GUCGUUAACGAACGAGAUCUCGACCUACUAAAUAGUAGACUAAACUCUUCGGGGUUUGGAUUCACUUCUUAGAGGGACUUUUGGUGAGUAGCCAAAGGAAGUUCGAGGCAAUAACAGGUCUGUGAUGCCCUUAGAUGUUCUGGGCCGCACGCGCGCUACACUGAUCAAGUCAACGAGUUUACAACCUUGGCCGGAAGGUCUGGGUAAUCUUUUGAAACUUGAUCGUGCUGGGGAUAGUCCAUUGCAAUUAUUGGACUUCAACGAGGAAUUCCUAGUAAGCGUGAGUCAUCAGCUCGCGUUGAUUACGUCCCUGCCCUUUGUACACACCGCCCGUCGCUAAUACCGAUUGAAUGGUU
Molecule: ribosomal RNA, 356 nt
Filed under: Eukaryota sp.
Lineage: Eukaryota
Description: SSU rRNA
Rfam family: Eukaryotic small subunit ribosomal RNA
Source: RNAcentral